UUCCGUAGGUGAACCUGCGGAGGGAUCAUUACACAAAUAUGAAGGCGGGCUGGAAUCUCUCGGGGUUACAGCCUUGCUGAAUUAUUCACCCUUGUCUUUUGCGUACUUCUUGUUUCCUUGGUGGGUUCGCCCACCACUAGGACAAACACAAACCUUUUGUAAUUGCAAUCAGCGUCAGUAACAAAUUAAUAAUUACAACUUUCAACAACGGAUCUCUUGGUUCUGGCAUCGAUGAAGAACGCAGCGAAAUGCGAUAAGUAGUGUGAAUUGCAGAAUUCAGUGAAUCAUCGAAUCUUUGAACGCACAUUGCGCCCUUUGGUAUUCCAAAGGGCAUGCCUGUUCGAGCGUCAUUUGUACCCUCAAGCUUUGCUUGGUGUUGGGCGUCUUGUCUCUAGCUUUGCUGGAGACUCGCCUUAAAGUAAUUGGCAGCCGGCCUACUGGUUUCGGAGCGCAGCACAAGUCGCACUCUCUAUCAGCAAAGGUCUAGCAUCCAUUAAGCCUUUUUUCAACUUUUGACCUCGGAUCAGGUAGGGAUACCCGCUGAACUUAAGCAUAUCAAUAAGCGGAGGAA
Molecule: ribosomal RNA, 571 nt
Filed under: Alternaria sp. 8206
Lineage: Eukaryota; Fungi; Ascomycota; Dothideomycetes; Pleosporales; Pleosporaceae
Description: eukaryotic LSU rRNA
Rfam family: 5.8S ribosomal RNA (bases 197-350)
Source: RNAcentral